This 398-nucleotide ribosomal RNA is filed under the name uncultured bacterium. Its description in RNAcentral is "bacterial SSU rRNA". It matches the Rfam family "Bacterial small subunit ribosomal RNA", at positions 32 to 409 of the family's 1533-position model. The record is from RNAcentral.
AAUCAAUGCUGGCGGCGUGCCUCAGACAUGCAAGUCGAACGCGAAAGUCCCCUUCGGGGGACAAGUAGAGUGGCGCACGGGUGAGUAACACGUAGGUAAUCUACCUUUGGAUGGGGAAUAACAACCGGAAACGGUUGCUAAUACCGCAUAAUGCAGCGGCACCUAAUGGUGACAGUUGUUAAAGCGGGGGAUCGAAAGACCUCGCGUCUGAAGAGGAGCCUGCGGCGGAUUAGCUAGUUGGUAAGGUAAUGGCUUACCAAGGCUACGAUCCGUAACCGGCCUGAGAGGGCGGUCGGUCACACUGACACUGACAUACGGGUCAGACUCCUACGGGAGGCAGCAGUCGGGAAUUUUGGGCAAUGGGCGAAAGCCUGACCCAGCAACGCCGCGUGAAGGAU